CUAUAACGUUUCCUGGAAUAUAAUGUUGCAUCAAAUAGAUUUCAUCUUCCUGGUAACAGCAGUGUCCAUCUCCUACGAAACUCUCCAUCACCCACCCGACUCCAUGUGGUUCCAGUGGGACAGCCAAUCACAACAGCCUCCCUCUGGCCACGUGACUCAGACCCUGCACUCAAAGCAUCAUCUGGCAACACCCGGAUCAAUAAACUGGUUCAUCUGUUCUUGUGGCCCCCACCCAGGAACCGACCCAGUGAAAGAGGAGAGUUUCAACUCCCUGUGAUUUCGUCUCCCACCUAACCAAUUAGCACUCCCCACUUUCUGACCCCCUACCCACCAAAUUAUCAAAAACCCUGAUCUCUGAAUUUUCAGGGAGAUUGACUUGAGUAAUAAUCAAUUUUGCAUGUGGCAUGGCCGGCCUCGUGUCAAUUAAACUCUUUCUUUACUGCAA
This is a long non-coding RNA of Homo sapiens (human), 445 nucleotides long. RefSeq lists it as uncharacterized. Lineage: Eukaryota; Metazoa; Chordata; Mammalia; Primates; Hominidae. The record is from RefSeq and is a predicted model, not a curated record. The transcript has 2 exons.